UGGACCUGAUAUCAGGCAAGAUUAC
RNAcentral lists this ribosomal RNA (25 nucleotides) under Phytophthora cactorum. Its description in RNAcentral is "partial 28S ribosomal RNA". The record is from RNAcentral. Lineage: Eukaryota; Oomycota; Peronosporomycetes; Peronosporales; Peronosporaceae.